Dermacentor albipictus is the source of this 505-nucleotide long non-coding RNA. RefSeq lists it as uncharacterized. NCBI's taxonomy places the organism in Eukaryota, Metazoa, Arthropoda, Arachnida, Ixodida, Ixodidae. The record is from RefSeq and is a predicted model, not a curated record.
UGUGUUUAGUGCAGCCGGCUCCUAAUUGACCACAGCUUUGGUUGAAAGAAGCUCACCGUUGGCUCCAGACUUGUCCAUUUCAUCCAAGGAGUUGAAGCUGCCGCGCACCUCAUCAGUCUGAUGAACGCACAAGAAAAGAGGAUCAGCGGCAAGGGACCCGGACGUUCUGCAAGCUACAGAAAGUCAUUUUCUAACCGCCUGUGUGGUGGCGGCCGUCACCGAAGCAUCACCGGAGAAGAAGGGCCUGCGAGUCGCCGACAAGCGGACGAGAAGCGAUGACACAUCGGUUCGAAGGCAGAGCACCGACUCGGUUCCGAAACCCGACCCAACCGUCCGCUUGGUCGACUCGUUGCCGACGUGUGACGAUCGGCCGUGUAAACGGCGUGUUGCAACGGACACGCGUGAGCGCUUUGAUGGCGGCACGGAGCAUUUCUAUGCAGGCUGGUUUGCUUCCGCGCGCUGCGUGCAUUUGUGUCUUAUCCUGAAUAAAAACGCUCAACAAGCA